RNAcentral lists this ribosomal RNA (451 nucleotides) under uncultured bacterium. RNAcentral describes it as "bacterial SSU rRNA". It matches the Rfam family "Bacterial small subunit ribosomal RNA", at positions 335 to 802 of the family's 1533-position model. The record is from RNAcentral.
ACUCCUACGGGAGGCAGCAGUGGGGAAUAUUGCACAAUGGGCGCAAGCCUGAUGCAGCAACGCCGUGUGAGUGAAGAAGGUUUUCGGAUCGUAAAACUCUGUCCUAAGGGAAGAAACAAAUGACGGUACCUUAGGAGGAAGCCCCGGCUAACUACGUGCCAGCAGCCGCGGUAAUACGUAGGGGGCAAGCGUUAUCCGGAAUCACUGGGCGUAAAGGGUGCGUAGGCGGCUUAGCAAGCCAGGGGUGAAAGGCAUUGGCUCAACCAAUGUAAGCCUUUGGAACUGUUAAGCUUGAGUGCAGGAGAGGUAAGUGGAAUUCCUAGUGUAGAGGUGAAAUUCGUAGAUAUUAGGAGGAACACCAGUGGCGAAGGCGACUUACUGGACUGUAACUGACGCUGAUGCACGAAAGCGUGGGUAGCGAACAGGAUUAGAUACCCUGGGGGGCACAGAG